Molecule: ribosomal RNA, 450 nt
Filed under: uncultured bacterium
Lineage: Bacteria
Description: partial 16S ribosomal RNA
Rfam family: Bacterial small subunit ribosomal RNA
Source: RNAcentral
GUGGGGAAUAUUGCACAAUGGGCGCAAGCCUGAUGCAGCCAUGCCGCGUGUAUGAAGAAGGCCUUCGGGUUGUAAAGUACUUUCAGCGGGGAGGAAGGUGUUGUGGUUAAUAACCACAGCAAUUGACGUUACCCGCAGAAGAAGCACCGGCUAACUCCGUGCCAGCAGCCGCGGUAAUACGGAGGGUGCAAGCGUUAAUCGGAAUUACUGUGCGUAAAGCGCACGCAGGCGGUCUGUUAAGUCGGAUGUGAAAUCCCCGGGCUCAACCUGGGAACUGCAUUCGAAACUGGCAGGUUAGAGUCUUGUAGAGGGGGGUAGAAUUCCAGGUGUAGCGGUGAAAUGCGUAGAGAUCUGGAGGAAUACCGGUGGCGAAGGCGGCCCCCUGGACAAAGACUGACGCUCAGGUGCGAAAGCGUGGGGAGCAAACAGGAUUAGAAACCCCAGUAGUCC